GCUUCAAGGUGCUUACCCAACGCAGCAUUUCGACAAAAAUGCGCCGGAUGCAAAAGGAAGAAGGAGCAACUCAACUGAACAACUCAAAUUGGAAUUCGUGCCAGUCAUUCUGUUACGUCUGAGAGCGGCAAUCUAGUACGCUACUACGUCAAUUCGCGUUUGAAGUGAAAUUCCUCAAUGAAAGUUACUGCAUGUCGUGUACUAACUGUCUACUAGUAAUGACAGUAGUGACAGAUGUGGUACGAGUCCCGGUCGACGUAAAAGCAACGAUGGUAACGGCACGUCCAUGUGCAUCAGGAAGAAGAGAAUGUGGCACCUGUUCGAGACAGGUUUGUCUCCUGAUGCAGAAGAAACCAGCCGGUUUUAGCAAUCAAUAAUCUUUGAUGCCCAUCUGCCUUUCGUGUGGAGAAAAGAGAGAGUAAAAAUUAUAACUACACAUGUCUCUAUAGAGACCUUCACACGCUCAAACUAUCUCAAGCCACGGUCUACAGUAAUUUGAGAGAAAUCAUAUGUGGAUUGUCUUAAGAUCGCUCAGCUCGAUAUUGCAAACAGAGUCUUCUUUCUCCAUACCGCUAUCUUCUCCUUCUUCUUUGAUUUUAUCUUUAAUUU
Molecule: long non-coding RNA, 609 nt
Organism: Wasmannia auropunctata (little fire ant)
Lineage: Eukaryota; Metazoa; Arthropoda; Insecta; Hymenoptera; Formicidae
Exons: 4
Source: RefSeq, a predicted model, not a curated record